Molecule: long non-coding RNA, 1297 nt
Organism: Antechinus flavipes (yellow-footed antechinus)
Lineage: Eukaryota; Metazoa; Chordata; Mammalia; Dasyuromorphia; Dasyuridae
Exons: 3
Source: RefSeq, a predicted model, not a curated record
UGAACAUCUGCUAGCCCUGUAUUGACACAGGAAUAAAUUAUUCAGCUUGUAGUAUUUGGGAAUUUAAAGGCUCCAUGAUGAAUUCUACAAAACUAUAUUAUGUCUCUGACAUUCUGGGGGUUUCAUUAUUUUGUCUUCAAUUAUUCACAAAGGCUCUUCACCUCUCGCAGCUUAUGUGGAAUACUUGAGAUCAAGGGAGCCCAGGGCUGAGGAGAUGGAAGGCAUUUUAUUAAGACAUCAUUUUCUGGGGGUUGUUUUUCCUUUCAGACAGCACAAAACCCUUUUCCCCUCGCCCCCUCUAAACUGAGAGGAAACCCCAUGGUCCGCAGCCUCUCGGUGACGGUCGCCCCGCUUCCUCCCCAGUAGCCUGCGUUAGAUUUGGAGAUCCAGACUGGCCGUGAUUCUGGGGCCCGAAGCGCUGAGCCUGCACCUUGGUGGCCGCUCUGACCUCGGUUUUCCUAUUUGUAAAAUGAGCACUGACACUUGUGCUGGCCCAGCUCAGGGGGUGUUCUGAGGCUCAAGGGAGAGUGGGCGGAGCACUAUGGAGUCAAGUGAGCGGAGCACUAUGGAGUCAAGCGCUGCUCCCUCGGGAUGUGACUGGGCCGGUGGGAGAGCUUGGGAUGGGGCCUGACCCCCGAUGGAAAGGACCCAGCACUUAGGACGCCAGAACUGGAAGGAAUGGCAGGGUUACUCUGAGCGUGUGAGUGUGUCUGUGUGUAUGAGGGUGUGUGUAAGGGUGUGAGUGUCUGUGUGUAUGAGUGUGUGUAAGGGCGUGAGUGUGUCUGUGUGUAUGAGGGUGUGUGUAAGGGCGUGAGUGUGUCUGUGUGUAUGAGUGUGUGUGUAAGGGCGUGAGUGUGUAUGAGUGUGUGUGUAAGGGCGUGAGUGUGUCUGUGUGUAUGAAGGUGUGUAAGGGCGUGAGUAUGUCUGUGUGUAUGAGGCUGUGUGUAAGGGCGUGAGUGUGUCUGUGUGUAUGAAGGUGUGUGUAAGGGCGUGAGUGUGUCUGUGUGUAUGAGGGUGUGUGUAAGGGCGUGAGUGUGUCUGUGUGUAUGAGGGUGUGUGUAAGGGCGUGAGUGUGUCUGUGUGUAUGAGGGUGUGUGUAAGGGCGUGAGUGUGUCUGUGUGUAUGAGGGUGUGUGUAAGGGCGUGAGUGUGUCUGUGUGUAUGAGUGUGUGUGUAAGGGCGUGAGUGUGUUUGUGUGUAUGAAGGUGUGUGUAAGGGCGUGAGUGUGUCUGUGUGUAUGAGGGUGUGUGUAAGGGUGUGAAUUUGUCUCUGUGUAUGAGUGUGUGUGUGAGUGUGUC